This 793-nucleotide ribosomal RNA is filed under the name uncultured bacterium. RNAcentral describes it as "bacterial SSU rRNA". It matches the Rfam family "Bacterial small subunit ribosomal RNA", at positions 8 to 796 of the family's 1533-position model. The record is from RNAcentral.
AGAGUUUGAUCAUGGCUCAGGAUGAACGCUAGCGGCAGGCCUAACACAUGCAAGUCGAGGGGCAGCACGGGUAGCAAUACUUGGUGGCGACCGGCGCACGGGUGAGUAACGCGUAUGCAACCUUCCCCUAACUGGGACAUAGCCCGUCGAAAGACGGAUUAAUUUCCCAUAACACUGUGACAUGGCAUCAUGUUACAGUUAAAACUCCGGUGGUUAGGGAUGGGCAUGCGUGUCAUUAGCUAGUUGGUAGGGUAACGGCCUACCAAGGCUACGAUGACUAGGGGUUCUGAGAGGAUGAUCCCCCACACUGGAACUGAGACACGGUCCAGACUCCUACGGGAGGCAGCAGUGAGGAAUAUUGGUCAAUGGACGCAAGUCUGAACCAGCCAUGCCGCGUGAAGGAUGACUGCCCUAUGGGUUGUAAACUUCUUUUUUACGGGACGAAACUGAGCUACGUGUAGCUUACUGACGGUACCGUAUGAAUAAGCAACGGCUAACUCCGUGCCAGCAGCCGCGGUAAUACGGAGGUUGCAAGCGUUAUCCGGAUUUAUUGGGUUUAAAGGGUGCGUAGGCGGGGAAAUAAGUCAGUGGUGAAAUCCUGCAGCUUAACUGUAGAACUGCCAUUGAUACUGUUUUUCUUGAGUCUAGUUGAGGUGGGCGGAAUGUGUAAUGUAGCGGUGAAAUGCUUAGAUAUUACACAGAACACCGAUUGCGUAGGCAGCUCACUAAACUAUAACUGACGCUGAGGCACGAAAGCGUGGGGAGCAAACAGGAUUAGAUACCCUAGUAGUCC